This 1227-nucleotide ribosomal RNA is filed under the name Triticum aestivum (bread wheat). RNAcentral's name for it is "partial small subunit ribosomal RNA". The record is from RNAcentral. Lineage: Eukaryota; Viridiplantae; Streptophyta; Magnoliopsida; Poales; Poaceae.
AUGGCCGCUGCGCGCGUCGUCGCGUGCCUGCUGGCGGCGGUGAUGUGCCUCUCCUGCGAGGCAGCGAGGUCGCCGGAGGCCAGGAUGCACCGCCACCUCAAGCGCCUCAACAAGCCGGCCGUCAAGAGCAUCGAGAGCCCAGACGGGGACAUCAUAGACUGCGUGCACAUCUCGCACCAGCCGGCCUUCGACCACCCGUUCCUCAAGAACCACACCAUCCAGAUGAGGCCGAGCUAUCACCCGGAGGGCCUGUACGACGAGUCCAAGGCCAAUGUGGCCUCCUCCGGCGACGGCGAGCGGCCGAUGGUUCAGCUCUGGCACCGGAACGGCAGGUGCGCACCGGGCACCGUCCCGGUCCGGAGGACCAAGAAGGACGACUUGAUGCGCGCGACCUCGAUGCGGCGCUACGGCAGGAAGCACAAGCCCACGGUGGCGAACCCGAUGUCGGUCGAUCUCGCCAUGCUCAACGAGGGCGGCCAUCAGCACGCGAUAUCAUACGUUCAGGGCGAGAAGUACUACGGCGCCAAGGCGACGAUCAACGUGUGGGAGCCCAAGAUCGAGCAGCCCAACGAGUUCAGCCUGUCCCAGCUGUGGAUCUUGGGGGGCUCCUUCGGCGAGGACCUCAACAGCAUCGAGGCUGGCUGGCAGGUUAGCCCGGACCUCUAUGGGGACAACAACACAAGACUGUUCACCUACUGGACUAGUGACGCGUACCAGGCAACAGGGUGCUACAACAUACUGUGCUCAGGGUUCGUCCAGAUCAACAACGAGGUGGCCAUGGGGGCCAGCAUCUUCCCCAUCUCGGGCUACUCCGGCUCGCAGUACGACAUCAGCAUACUCAUCUGGAAGGAUCCGAAGGAGGGUCACUGGUGGAUGCAGUUUGGCAAGGAGUACGUGCUGGGUUACUGGCCGUCGUUCCUGUUCUCGUACCUGGCGGACAGCGCGUCGAUGAUCGAGUGGGGCGGGGAGGUGGUGAACUCGCAGGCGGAGGGGGUGCACACGUCGACGCAGAUGGGCAGCGGGCACUUCCCGGAGGAGGGGUUCGGCAAGGCGAGCUACUUCAAGAACAUCCAGGUGGUGGACAGCACCAACAACCUCAAGGCGCCCCAUGGGAUGGGCACCUUCACGGAGCAGUCCAACUGCUACGACGUGCAGAACGGCAACAACGCCGACUGGGGCUCCUACUUCUACUACGGCGGCCCCGGCCGGAGCGCCAACUGCCAGUGA